Molecule: ribosomal RNA, 397 nt
Filed under: uncultured bacterium
Lineage: Bacteria
Description: partial 16S ribosomal RNA
Rfam family: Bacterial small subunit ribosomal RNA
Source: RNAcentral
AUACGUAGGGGGCGAGCGUUGUCCGGAAUGAUUGGGCGUAAAGGGCGCGUAGGCGGCCCGGUAAGUCUGGAGUGAAAGUCCUGUUUUUAAGAUGGGAAUUGCUUUGGAUACUGUCGGGCUUGAGUGCAGGAGAGGUAAGUGGAAUUCCCAGUGUAGCGGUGAAAUGCGUAGAGAUUGGGAGGAACACCAGUGGCGAAGGCGACUUACUGGACUGUAACUGACGCUGAGGCGCGAAAGUGUGGGGAGCAAACAGGAUUAGAUACCCUGGUAGUCCACGCCGUAAACGACGAAUGCUAGGUGUAGGGGGUAUCGACCCCUUCUGUGCCGCAGUCAACACAAUAAGCAUUCCGCCUGGGGAGUACGGCCGCAAGGUUGAAACUCAAAUGAAUUGACGGGG